AAGUCGUAACAAGGUAACCGUAGGUGAACCUGCGGUUGGAUCAUUAACGAAUUUGAAGACGGAAGUCUUUAAUCAUGGCCUCUCUUUAGUGUCAAAGCUAAUUUGAGGUUUCAACCUUGUGUGAACCUAUAACGUCUCUGGUAUGAUGCUCUUUUUCUACCUUUGGGUAGUCAAAGACGCAUGCCAGUAAACUUUUAAACCUAGUUUUUUAAUCGGUCUAUUAACCAUAAUAAAAAAUGGAAACAACUUUUGACAACGGAUCUCUUGGCUCUC
RNAcentral lists this unclassified non-coding RNA (273 nucleotides) under fungal sp. RNAcentral describes it as "partial internal transcribed spacer region". The stretch from base 1 to 46 matches the Rfam family "Eukaryotic small subunit ribosomal RNA", at positions 1786 to 1831 of the family's 1831-position model. Lineage: Eukaryota; Fungi. The record is from RNAcentral.